UCUAGGGGUAGCAAUACCACUGGCGCACGGGUGAAGUAACACGUAGGUUAUCUGCCCCUAUCACAGACAUAGCCUCGGGAAACCGAGGCUAAUAUCUGAUGAGGUCGUGAGAUCAAAGCUUCGGCGGAUAGGGAUGAGCCUGCGGCUGAUUAGCUAGUUGGUGAGGUAAUGGCUCACCAAGGCGACGAUCAGUAGCUGGUCUGAGAGGACGAACAGCCACACUGGAACUGAGACACGGUCCAGACUCCUACGGGAGGCAGCAGUGAGGAAUAUUGGUCAAUGGGAGCAAUCCUGAACCAGCAAUGCCGCGUGUGGGAUGACAGGGCUUCGCCUUGUAAACCACUGUCGGAUGGGACGAAAGGAACCCUCGGGGUUCUGGGACGGUACCAUCAAAGGAAGGGUCGGCUAACUACGUGCCAGCAGCCGCGGUAAUACGUAGGACCCGAGCGUUGUCCGGAUUUACUGGGUAUAAAGGGUGCGUAGGCGGCCUUGUGCGUCAGAGGUGAAAUAUCCGGGCUUAACCCGGAGGGUGCCUUUGAUACGGCGAGGCUUGAGUGCGAGAGAGGAUGAUGGAAUUCCUGGUGUAGCGGUGAAAUGCGUAGAUAUCAGGAGGAACACCGGUGGCGAAGGCGGUCAUCUGGCUCGUAACUGACGCUGAGGCACGAAAGCGCGGGGAUCAAACAGGAUUAGAUACCCUGGUAGUCCGCGCCCUAAACGAUGUAUGCUUGGUGUUGGGUCCGCAAGGACUCAGUGCCGUAGGGAAUCUGAUAAGCAUACCACCUGGGGAGUACGAUCGCAAG
RNAcentral lists this ribosomal RNA (800 nucleotides) under uncultured bacterium. RNAcentral's name for it is "bacterial SSU rRNA". It matches the Rfam family "Bacterial small subunit ribosomal RNA", at positions 62 to 892 of the family's 1533-position model. The record is from RNAcentral.